Molecule: ribosomal RNA, 424 nt
Filed under: Verrucomicrobiota bacterium
Lineage: Bacteria; Pseudomonadati; Verrucomicrobiota
Description: Verrucomicrobia bacterium partial 16S ribosomal RNA
Rfam family: Bacterial small subunit ribosomal RNA
Source: RNAcentral
UGAGGAAUAUUGGUCAAUGGACGGAAGUCUGAACCAGCCAAGUAGCGUGCAGGAUGACGGCCCUAUGGGUUGUAAACUGCUUUUGUAUGGGGAUAAAGUUAGGGACGUGUCCCUAUUUGCAGGUACCAUACGAAUAAGGACCGGCUAAUUCCGUGCCAGCAGCCGCGGUAAUACGGAAGGUCCAGGCGUUAUCCGGAUUUAUUGGGUUUAAAGGGAGCGUAGGCUGGAGAUUAAGUGUGUUGUGAAAUAUACCGGCUCAACCGGUGGCUUGCAGCGCGAACUGGUCGACUUGAGUAUGCAGGAAGUAGGCGGAAUUCAUGGUGUAGCGGUGAAAUGCUUAGAUAUCAUGACGAACUCCGAUUGCGCAGGCAGCUUACUGUAGCAUAACUGACGCUGAUGCUCGAAAGUGCGGGUAUCAAACAGG